AGUGAACGCUGGCGGCAGGCCUAACACAUGCAAGUCGAACGGCAGCACAAGAGAGCUUGCUCUCUGGGUGGCGAGUGGCGGACGGGUGAGGAAUGCAUCGGAAUCUGCCCAUUUGUGGGGGAUAACCUCGGGAAACCGGGACUAAUACCGCAUACGACCUACGGGUGAAAGCAGGGGAUCUUCGGACCUUGCGCAGAUGGAUGAGCCGAUGCCGGAUUAGCUAGUUGGAGGGGUAAAGGCCCACCAAGGCGACGAUCCGUAGCUGGUCUGAGAGGAUGAUCAGCCACACUGGGACUGAGACACGGCCCAGACUCCUACGGGAGGCAGCAGUGGGGAAUAUUGGACAAUGGGCGCAAGCCCGAUCCAGCCAUGCCGCGUGUGUGAAGAAGGCCUUCGGGUUGUAAAGCACUUUUGUUGGGAAAGAAAAGCAGCCGGUUAAUACCCGGUUGUCAUGACGGUACCCAAAGAAUAAGCACCGGCUAACUUCGUG
This 490-nucleotide ribosomal RNA is filed under the name uncultured bacterium. Its description in RNAcentral is "partial 16S ribosomal RNA". It matches the Rfam family "Bacterial small subunit ribosomal RNA", at positions 29 to 507 of the family's 1533-position model. The record is from RNAcentral.